Mycena rebaudengoi is the source of this 94-nucleotide non-coding RNA. The record is from the annotation of a GenBank genome assembly. Lineage: Eukaryota; Fungi; Basidiomycota; Agaricomycetes; Agaricales; Mycenaceae.
GACCUGGUGGUGUAAUGGUAACAUACCUGCUCAUAUUUCCCAUUGAAAGAAACUCAGUAAGCAGGAGUUCCCUGUUCAACUCAGGGUUGGGUCA